CAGAUGGUUGGGGUUAGUGUGUGUCAUCACAUUCGAGUGGGGAUUAAGAGAAGGAAGGCUGCCUUGCUGGAGCUGUGUGGUCUUCUCCAAGAGAGAGUUGCAGGCAAGACAACUACUUUGCUUUUGGAAGAAGAGGAGGGAUUCAUUUUCAGCGGCCACGAGAAAAGCAGUUUUUCAGGUGUGACGGCCUCCCAUCGUCAAUUGGAGAAGGCGAAUUUCACAAAUGAGAUGCAGGUUCUUCACGGCAGAAUAAUUGCAGACAGUCUUCAAAGAUACCAGCAAUGCUUCCCUGGGCAGGACAUUGUCCUAGACACAGAGGGGACUCCAUCUGCAGAUGUUCUGAAUACCUCUGAGUCUAGAAAUUGAUUAUUCAACCAGGAUACCUAAUUCAAGACUGCCAGAACUCAGGAGACCAAGACAUUUUGUCAGUUUU
RNAcentral lists this long non-coding RNA (433 nucleotides) under Castor canadensis (American beaver). RNAcentral describes it as "lncRNA (ENSCCNG00000011837.1)". Lineage: Eukaryota; Metazoa; Chordata; Mammalia; Rodentia; Castoridae. The record is from RNAcentral.